UUGCGGUUAAAAAGCUCGUAGUUGGAUUUCUGUUGAGGAUGACCGGUCCGCUCUUUGAGCGCGUAUCUGGUUCAGCCUUGGCAUCCUCUUGGGGAACGCUACUGUGCUUGAUUGCAUGGGGCGGUAUUCAAGACUUUUACUUUGAGGAAAUUAGAGUGUUCACUGCAAGCGUUAGCAAUUGAAUACAUUAGCAUGGAAUAAUAAUAUAGGACCUUGGUACUAUUUUGUUGGUUUCUAGAACUAAGGUAAUGAUUAAUAGGGACAAUUGGGGGCAUUCGUAUUAACGCGUCAGAGGUGGAAUUCUUAGAUUGCGUUACGACGAACUACUGCGAAAGCAUUUGCCAAGGAUGUUUUCAUUGAUCAAGAACGAAAGUAUGGGGAUCGAAGACGCUUAGAUACCGUCGUAGUCUAUACCAUAAACUAUGCCAACUAGAGAUUGGAGGUCGUUCUCUUUAUGACUCCUUCAGCACCUUAUGAGAAAUCAAAGUCUUUGGGUUCCGGGGGGAGUAUGGUCGCAAGGCUGAAACUUAAAGGAAUUGACGGAAGGGCACCACCAGGAGUGGAGCCUGCGGCUUAAUUUGACUCAACAC
Molecule: ribosomal RNA, 590 nt
Filed under: uncultured marine eukaryote
Lineage: Eukaryota
Description: SSU rRNA
Rfam family: Eukaryotic small subunit ribosomal RNA
Source: RNAcentral